CCGUAUAUUAUACAGGAGUCAGCAAAGUAUACCGGUCCAGCAUAAUAUGCUGGAGUUCGUACACAGAUGCAUCGAACUCCCGUAUAUUAUGCGGGACCGGUCUCUGUUGCAGCAAAAUAGUGGCUAUUUUUCAUUGACUUCGUAAAUGGUGGCUAUUUUUGAAUGACCAGUCCGAAAACUGACUAUAUCGUGCUAUUUUGACGAAAACAAAUCAUCUCAUAAUUAAUUAUUUCGGGAUUAAUUAUCUCAUUCUCCCCUAUAGAUAAAAAACACAACAAUCCUGUAAUUAAAGAGCCCUCAUUGUUUUGGCAGUCAACCUUUGUGGUGGGAUUUUAAUUCUAAAAAAGUAUUAUCGCGCGCAUUAAAAUUCUGUCCCAUUUAUGGAGGACUGCACGUUAUGCAGGUCCGCAAAGAUGCACCUAACAAUAAACAAGAACCUGAGAGCAACAAAUUAAAGAACUGCUAAGUUAAUAUAUUCAUUUGAUAAAAAAAUAAACAAACAAAUAGUUAAAUACAAUAGUGUAUUAUAAAAGUAAUGAAAGAGCAAUAUAGUUGGCUCUUUAUGACUCUUUAAAUUGGUCUACAUAUAUAGGUAGUCAGAAAACUUGAAGUUCUUAACAUUGAAAAUAAAUGGAGUAGCUAAUAGCUCAUGAUUUUUUAAGAAUAAUAAAUCUAAAUAGCCGUCCAUCCGACCGCUUAGACUAAAAAUAGGCGGCAUAUAUGUAUAAUAUUUGUAUAUCCACAUAUUAUAUCAAUAUCAUCAUGUUUAAUAUAUGUGUACCAGCUAGAAAAAAAUAAAAAGUGAAUGUGGCUAAUUAUUUCUAUAAAGAUCCCUUAAGAACAUAUAGACAAAAGUGCAAUUAUUAUGUUUGAUGUUUAAUUUAAUCUAUAUUUUCUAUGACACUUUCCACCAUAUAACAAUGAAAAAAAAACCAUGUAUUAAUACCUUACAAAGUUAAUUUCUGUGUUUUCGCAGCUGUGAUUCAUCCAUUUGCAGAGCAUAUAGCAUACUUCUUGCUAUUUGCCAUACCACUUCUCACAACUGUGCUAACUGGGACUGCUUCAAUAGUUUCAUUUGGUGGAUAUAUUACUUAUAUUGAUUUUAUGAACAACAUGGGCCAUUGCAACUUUGAGAUAAUUCCAAAAUGGAUGUUCUCCAGCUUCCCCCCUCUCAAAUACUUGAUGUAUACACCCUCGUA
This 1199-nucleotide long non-coding RNA is filed under the name Nicotiana tabacum (common tobacco). RNAcentral describes it as "long non-coding RNA (NTAB_LNC004456)". Lineage: Eukaryota; Viridiplantae; Streptophyta; Magnoliopsida; Solanales; Solanaceae. The record is from RNAcentral.